AUAUGUUAAAACGUUUACAGCUAUCGAUAAGGCACAAGCCAAUCUAAAGAGGGUGUUCGCACCCAAGGUUUUUGGAGGGGCCGGGAGAUCCAGGAGCCGUCCACCCGGCUGAGGCUUCAGGGGUCAAUCUAGAGCCCCCAGAGGUUCCCACCAAUUCCCAAGAUAUACACCAGAAUACAGGCCAUCCCCGUUCUUCCCAUCCAGAGGAAGACCAUGGCAG
Non-coding RNA from Pelobates cultripes (western spadefoot toad), 220 nucleotides. The record is from the annotation of a GenBank genome assembly. NCBI's taxonomy places the organism in Eukaryota, Metazoa, Chordata, Amphibia, Anura, Pelobatidae.